RNAcentral lists this long non-coding RNA (466 nucleotides) under Cavia porcellus (domestic guinea pig). RNAcentral's name for it is "lncRNA (ENSCPOG00000036425.1)". The record is from RNAcentral. Lineage: Eukaryota; Metazoa; Chordata; Mammalia; Rodentia; Caviidae.
AUAAGAUUGACCACCACAAGAAAAAUUUAUAAAAAUUCUCAUUUUUUUUUUUUACUUAGACCAAACUUAAAGAAAUGGAGAUUAAUGAAUUUGUGGUCCAGGUCGAAAACCUUACAGCACAACUGAAAGAAGAGGAGAAAGAGUUUAUAAUGAAGGAAAAAAAGUUAAUUCAUGACUUAACCAUAUUUGAGGAUUUAAUUCUUAAGGAAACAAAAAUUAACAAAGAAACAGAAGAAGAGCUUAAUGAUAGUCUUCCACAACUUCAUAUGGCAGAAGAAGAGUACAUGGAAAAACACCGAAAGCUACAAGAGCUCUGUGCGAUCCUCGCAGUACAUUUCAUACUUAAAGAACAAAACAGAGGAAUACAGAAAAGGACAAGACUUCCUCACGUACAGCUUCAAGGACCUGUCCUGGGAACUGAUAGCCCAACACAGUAAGUAAUGUAUCCUGGAUCCUCUUGAUACAU